Long non-coding RNA from Leptopilina boulardi, 3226 nucleotides. RefSeq lists it as uncharacterized. The record is from RefSeq and is a predicted model, not a curated record. The transcript is spliced from 4 exons. Lineage: Eukaryota; Metazoa; Arthropoda; Insecta; Hymenoptera; Figitidae.
ACAUAUUAUAACUUUACAUUAUUGUAAAUGAAAAUUAAGUAUUAAAAAUAAAAAAAAUCAAUAUUUUUCUAAGUCCCUAAUUUUUUUGGACUUAUAAAAAAAAUAGUUUGUAAGAUUUUCUAACAGCAUAUAUGCAAAGUAUUUUGAUUUAUUUGAAAAUAAUUGAAAAUAGAUUUUUCAAGGACGGUGUCGAGGUCACGGGGUCGGUGUCGUUUUUCGAAAUUUGUUAACUUAAUAUAAUAGAAGAUGUUUCGUUUUAAAUUAAGAAACGUUAAAAUUAUUAAGUUAAAAACAUUUGAUUUUAAUGACACUUAAAAUUAGACACAAUAUUAUAGGUUACUAACUAAAAAUUGAAAAAACAACAAUAAAUAAUAAAAAAUAAUAAUAAAAAAUUGAAAAAAUCAAAAAAUUCUUAAAAAAUUGCAAAAUAACCCUUUUUCGGGUUAAAAUUGAAAAAAGAUGUUACAUAAAAAUAGUUUGUAAGAUUUUCUAACAGCAUAUAUGCAAAGUAUUUUGAUUUAUUUGAAAAUAAUUGAAAAUAGAUUUUUCAAGGACGGUGUCGAGGUCACGGGGUCGGUGUCGUUUUUCGAAAUUUGUUAACUUAAUAUAAUAGAAGAUGUUUCGUUUUAAAUUAAGAAAUGUUAAAAUUAUUAAGUUAAAAACAUUUGAUUUUAAUGACACUUAAAAUUAGACACAAUAUUAUAGGUUACUAAUUAAAAAUUGAAAAAACAACAAUAAAUAAUAAAAAAUAAUAAUAAAAAAUUGAAAAAAUCAAAAAAUUCUUAAAAAAUUGCAAAAUAACCCUUUUUCGGGUUAAAAUUGAAAAAAAAUGUUACAUAAAAAUAGUUUGUAAGAUUUUCUAACAGCAUAUAUGCAAAGUAUUUUGAUUUAUUUGAAAAUAAUUGAAAAUAGAUUUUUCAAGGACGGUGUCGAGGUCACGGGGUCGGUGUCGUUUUUCGAAAUUUGUUAACUUAAUAUAAUAGAAGAUGUUUCGUUUUAAAUUAAGAAAUGUUAAAAUUAUUAAGUUAAAAACAUUUGAUUUUAAUGACACUUAAAAUUAGACACAAUAUUAUAGGUUACUAACUAAAAAUUGAAAAAACAACAAUAAAUAAUAAAAAAUAAUAAUAAAAAAUUGAAAAAAUCAAAAAAUUCUUAAAAAAUUGCAAAAUAACCCUUUUUCGGGUUAAAAUUGAAAAAAGAUGUUACAUAAAAAUAGUUUGUAAGAUUUUCUAACAGCAUAUAUGCAAAGUAUUUUGAUUUAUUUGAAAAUAAUUGAAAAUAGAUUUUUCAAGGACGGUGUCGAGGUCACGGGGUCGGUGUCGUUUUUCGAAAUUUGUUAACUUAAUAUAAUAGAAGAUGUUUCGUUUUAAAUUAAGAAACGUUAAAAUUAUUAAGUUAAAAACAUUUGAUUUUAAUGACACUUAAAAUUAGACACAAUAUUAUAGGUUACUAACUAAAAAUUGAAAAAACAACAAUAAAUAAUAAAAAAUAAUAAUAAAAAAUUAAAAAAAUCAAAAAAUUCUUAAAAAAUUGCAAAAUAACCCUUUUUCGGGUUAAAAUUGAAAAAAGAUGUUACAUAAAAAUAGUUUGUAAGAUUUUCUAACAGCAUAUAUGCAAAGUAUUUUGAUUUAUUUGAAAAUAAUUGAAAAUAGAUUUUUCAAGGACGGUGUCGAGGUCACGGGGUCGGUGUCGUUUUUCGAAAUUUGUUAACUUAAUAUAAUAGAAGAUGUUUCGAUUUAAAUUAAGAAAUGUUAAAAUUAUUAAGUUAAAAACAUUUGAUUUUAAUGACACUUAAAAUUAGACACAAUAUUAUAGGUAACUAACUAAAAAUUGAAAAAACAACAAUAAAUAAUAAAAAAUAAUAAUAAAAAAUUGAAAAAAUCAAAAAAUUCUAAAAAAAUUGCAAAAUAACCCUUUUUCGGGUUAAAAUUGAAAAAUAACCCUUUUUCGGGUUAAAAUUGAAAAAGAUGUUACAUAAAAAAAGUUUGUAAGAUUUUCUAACAGCAUAUAUGCAAAGUAUUUUGAUUUAUUUGAAAAUAAUUGAAAAUAGAUUUUUCAAGGACGGUGUCGAGGUCACGGGGUCGGUGUCGUUUUUCGAAAUUUGUUAACUUAAUAUAAUAGAAGAUGUUUCGUUUUAAAUUAAGAAAUGUUAAAAUUAUUAAGUUAAAAACAUUUGAUUUUAAUGACACUUAAAAUUAGACAAAAAUAUUAUAGGUUACUAAUUAAAAAUUGAAAAAACAACAAUAAAUAAUAAAAAAUAUUAAUAAAAAAUUGAAAAAAUCAAAAAAUUCUUAAAAAAUUGCAAAAUAACCCUUUUUCGGGUUAAAAUUGAAAAAAGAUGUUACAUAAAAAUAGUUUGUAAGAUUUUCUAACAGCAUAUAUGCAAAGUAUUUUGAUUUAUUUGAAAAUAAUUGAAAAUAGAUUUUUCAAGGACGGUGUCGAGGUCACGGGGUCGGUGUCGUUUUUCGAAAUUUGUUAACUUAAUAUAAUAGAAGAUGUUUCGUUUUAAAUUAAGAAAUGUUAAAAUUAUUAAGUUAAAAACAUUUGAUUUUAAUGACACUUAAAAUUAGACACAAUAUUAUAGGUUACUAACUAAAAAUUGAAAAAACAACAAUAAAUAAUAAAAAAUAAUAAUAAAAAAUUGAAAAAAUCAAAAAAUUCUUAAAAAAUUGCAAAAUAACCCUUGUUCGGGUUAAAAUUGAAAAAAGAUGUUACAUAAAAAUAGUUUGUAAGAUUUUCUAACAGCAUAUAUGCAAAGUAUUUUGAUUUAUUUGAAAAUAAUUGAAAAUAGAUUUUUCAAGGACGGUGUCGAGGUCACGGGGUCGGUGUCGUUUUUCGAAAUUUGUUAACUUAAUAUAAUAGAAGAUGUUUCGUUUUAAAUUAAGAAACGUUAAAAUUAUUAAGUUAAAAACAUUUGAUUUUAAUGACACUUAAAAUUAGACACAAUAUUAUAGGUUACUAACUAAAAAUUGAAAAAACAACAAUAAAUAAUAAAAAAUAAUAAUAAAAAAUUGAAAAAAUCAAAAAAUUCUUAAAAAAUUGCAAAAUAACCCUUUUUCGGGUUAAAAUUGAAAAAAGAUGUUACAUAAAAAUAGUUUGUAAGAUUUUCUAACAGCAUAUAUGCAAAGUAUUUUGAUUUAUUUGAAAAUAAUUGAAAAUAGAUUUUUCAAGGACGGUGUCGAGGUCACGGGGUCGGUGUCGUUUUUCGAAAUUUGUUAACUUAAUA